This 229-nucleotide long non-coding RNA is filed under the name Setaria italica (foxtail millet). RNAcentral describes it as "long non-coding RNA (SITA_LNC005814)". Lineage: Eukaryota; Viridiplantae; Streptophyta; Magnoliopsida; Poales; Poaceae. The record is from RNAcentral.
UUGUUUCACUUCUAGCUUUUUAACCUUGUUAUACAUAGUUUCGGACCGGUGUGUGACUGACAUGCAGGACCCACUUGUCGGCGCCGGGUUCAUAUGCUGCUCUAGUUUGGUUUAUUGUGUUCUUCUUUUUUUAUUUUGAUUCAUUGCGGAAACGUUAAACGUGUUUAGAUUUUGCAUUUGUUGUCCAAAUCCGUUGAUUCUUUUUUUCAAUUUGUCGGAUAACUUUUCC